RNAcentral lists this ribosomal RNA (423 nucleotides) under uncultured bacterium. RNAcentral's name for it is "partial 16S ribosomal RNA". It matches the Rfam family "Bacterial small subunit ribosomal RNA", at positions 360 to 775 of the family's 1533-position model. The record is from RNAcentral.
AAUAUUGGACAAUGGGGGCAACCCUGAUCCAGCCAUGCCGCGUGUGUGAAGAAGGUCUUCGGAUUGUAAAGUACUGUAAGAGGGGAGGAAGGGCGGUAGGUUAAUACCCGGAAGUUUUGAUGUUACCAACAGAAUAAGCACCGGCUAACGCUGUGCCAGCAGACGCGGUAAUACAGAGGGGGCAAGCGUUAAUCGGAAUUACUGGGCGUAAAGCGCGCGUAGGUGGUUCAGUAAGAUGGGUGUGAAAACCCCGGGCUUAACCUGGGAACUGCUUUCAUAACUGCUGAGCUAGAGUACGGUAGAGGGUAGUGGAAUUUCCUGUGUAGCGGUGAAAUGCGUAGAUAUAGGAAGGAACACCAGUGGCGAAGGCGACUACCUGGACUGAUACUGACACUGAGGUGCGAAAGCGUGGGGAGCAAACAG